GGCGAACGCUGGCGGCGUGCUUAACACAUGCAAGUCGAACGGAAAGGCCCUGCUUUUGUGGGGUGCUCGAGUGGCGAACGGGUGAGUAACACGUGAGUAACCUGCCCUUGACUUUGGGAUAACUUUAGGAAACUGGGGCUAAUAUCGGAUAGGAGCUCCUGCUGCAUGGUGGGGGUUGGAAAGUUUCGGCGGUUGGGGAUGGACUCGCUGGUUAUCAGCUUGAUUGUGGGGUAGUGGCUUACCAAGGCUUUGACGGGUAGCCGGCCUGAGAGGGUGACCGGCGACAUUGGGACUGAGAUACGGCGCAGUAUCCUACGGGAGGCAGCAGUCGGAAGUAUUGCACAGUGGGCGGAAGCCAGAUACAACAGCGCCGCGUGCGGGAUAACGGGCUACGAGUUGUGAACAGAUUUCGAAUGUGACGAGGCGUGAGUGACGGUAAUGAGUAAGGAAGCACCGGCUAACUACGUG
RNAcentral lists this ribosomal RNA (468 nucleotides) under uncultured bacterium. RNAcentral's name for it is "partial 16S ribosomal RNA". It matches the Rfam family "Bacterial small subunit ribosomal RNA", at positions 28 to 507 of the family's 1533-position model. The record is from RNAcentral.